Molecule: ribosomal RNA, 253 nt
Filed under: uncultured bacterium
Lineage: Bacteria
Description: partial 16S ribosomal RNA
Rfam family: Bacterial small subunit ribosomal RNA
Source: RNAcentral
UACGGAGGGGGCUAGCGUUGUUCGGAAUUACUGGGCGUAAAGCGUGCGCAGGCGGUGAUGUAAGACAGUUGUGAAAUCCCCGGGCUCAACCUGGGAACUGCAUCUGUGACUGCAUCGCUGGAGUACGGUAGAGGGGGAUGGAAUUCCGCGUGUAGCAGUGAAAUGCGUAGAUAUGCGGAGGAACACCGAUGGCGAAGGCAAUCCCCUGGACCUGUACUGACGCUCAUGCACGAAAGCGUGGGGAGCAAACAGG